GGUGGAUGGAAAUAGUUAUGGUUCACCUAAUUUUAUGCCCCUAAGGUCCUUGCAAAAGAAAACGGAGGGAGGAGAGAGAGGAGACAGGGGAAGGAGUCGCAUUCAAAUUCACUCUCGCCAGUCUCUAAAAUGGCAGAUUCGUUUUGAAACAACUCCAGAUUAAGCCUACAGAGGGAAAGCAUGGCUGAUGCUGCUGAGCACCUAUUACAGCUUCAGCAGCAUACCACGUUUCGGUCCACAACAGCUGUGUAAGAUUGUGACGGAGCUGGAAAUCUCCUGUUGCCUAGUGAGGUCAUGUCCUAGCGCAGAACGCAGAAUCACGAAGAGUGACGAAUGCCCGCCGUCAGCUGCUCACCGGGUUGCCUGUCAUGCAGCAACGCACAACGGAAGCACACCCUUCUCCUGUUCCCAGUGGUCAGAGCCACCCAAGUGGGGCUGUGGGCCCCCAGCACUUCUACUUCAGGAUGGAGACCCCCUGCUGCCUGGCUCCCUCCCCAGGCCCGCCAGGCUAGUCCCUCUCUCAGGCCUGCUCUCAUAGCCACGCGGGCCUUUCUGCUGCACACGCCAGCUCAGUUCGGGGCUCAGUAACCCCCUCCCAAUUCAGGGGCGUGACUCCUUCCAGAUUCUCCUUAAAUAUCACCUCCUACAAAAAGCCUUCCCCAAUCACCUCGUCUAAAUAGGGCCUCCUCAUUUUUCUACCUAAAUCUAUGGGGAGUUUGUUUGCUUAGUUGCAUGUAGCAUGAUCUUGCUUUGUGUUGCCUUUUUACAUAUUUAUUGUCUUUAUCUCAUUAGCAUAUGUGGUCCAAUAGGGUGGAGACUGUGAUUUAUCUUGUUCAUGCCUGGACUUCCAGCAGCAUUCAGAACAGAACUUCUUUCUUUUUCUUUCUUUCUUUCGAGAUGGAGUUUCGCUCUUGUUGCCCAGGCUGGAGUGCAGUGGUGCGACCUCGGCUCGCCGCAACCUCCGCCUCUUGGGUUCAAGCAUUUCUCCUACUUCAGCCUCCGGAGUAGCUGGGAUUACAGGCGCGCGCCACCAUGCCUGGCUAAUUGUAUUUUUAGUAGAGAUGGGGUUUCUCCAUGUUGGUCAGGCUGGUCUCGAACUCCCGUCCUCAAGUGAUCCGCCCACCUCGGCCUCCCAAAGUGCAGAAGAGAAUUCCAGGAAGCCUCGAGAGUGAGUGACGGCCCGCGGCCCCCCGGCGAGGAGGCAGCAAUACCACAGGCGACCACCAGAUGCCGCCGCAGUCAAGGGCAGUUGGUCUCCCCUCGCCGGGAUUAACCCUGGACCGAGGGCUCCCGAACCGCAUCGUCCCCACAGUCUGUCCUGCGAGGCGGCUUUCCCCAUUACCACCCUCGUUUCACCAAGGAGAAAACGAGCUCAGAGAGGCAGUGCAUUGGCCCGGGAUUGCAUCGGGCGCGAACCCAAGGAGAAAACGAGCUCAGAGAGGCAGUGCGUUGGCCCGGGAUUGCGCCGGGCGCGAACCCAAGGAGAAAACGAGCUCAGAGAGGCAGUGCGUUGGCCCGGGAUUGCGCCGGGCGCGAACCCAAGGAGAAAACGAGCUCAGAGAGGCAGUGCGUUGGCCCGGGAUUGGACCGGGUGCGAACCCACGUCAGCUCCCGCAGAACCUAAAUCAUUCGCUGCCACCUCCCUCCGGGCCUGCUCUCGCAGCGUUGGGUGGGGAGGAACAGAACAGCCUUGGGCGUGGCUGAGGAGAAAUCCCACAGAUGUCACUGGACGAGGGUGACGGGUGGGGCCGGGCUUUCCCCUGGGUACAGGCACAGCCGUGCUCUUCCCUCGCACAGUGACCCGCGGUGUCAUCCACAAUUCACAGCCUGUUUCCCAGAGGAGGGGCUCGGAGCGGUGUCCUCCAGGUGCCGCCAGCAACACAAGGCCCAGACUACAGAACACCAAAUACUGUGAUGAGAAAUUACUCCCCUUUUCCUUCAGGGCCAGUCCUGGCUACCCCAAGGGGAAAGUCGCAGCUUGGUGCUAAUGAAAGCUCAACUGUCCUCAGCAUUGUCAAUGGUUUUUAACAAAGAGAGAGCAGGCCCAAGCCUGGGGCAGAGCAUAGAAGCUGGGAAAGCACCAGGAUGUUUAAUGCCCACAGUCCAAAAUUGGUUGGUAGAAGUACCUACUGUCAGUCCUAACAGUAGAUUCACUUCUUACAUGUCUGCAGGUGUACCCAACAGCUCCGAAGAGACAGCGACCAUCGAGAACGGGCCAUGAUGACGAUGGCGGUUUUGUCGAAAAGAAAAGGGGGAAAUGUGGGGAAAAGCAAGAGAGAUCAGAUUGUUACUGUGUCUGUGUAGAAAGAAGUAGACAUAGGAGACUCCAUUUUGUUCUGUACUAAGAAAAAUUCUUCUGCCUUGGGAUGCUGUUAAUCUAUGACCUUACCCCCAACCCAGUGCUCUCUGAAACAGGUGCUGUGUCCACUAAGGGGUAAAUGGAUUAAGGGCGGUGCAAGAUGUGCUUUGUUAAACACAUGCUUGAAGGCAGCACGCUCCUUAAUGGUCAUCACCACUCCCUAAUCUCAAGUACCCAGGGACACAAACACCGCAGAAGGCCGGAGGGCCGCAGGGUCCUCUGCCUAGGAAAGCCAGGUAUUGUCCAGGGUUUCUCCCCAUGUGAUAGUCUGAAAUAUGGCCUCGUGGGAAGGGAAAGACCUGACCGUCCCCCAGCCCGACACCCGUAAAGGGUCUGUGCUAAGGAGGAUUAGUAAAAGAGGAAGGCAUGCCUCUUGCAGUUGAGACAAGAGGAAGGCAUCUGUCUCCUGCCUGUCCCUGGGCAAUGGAAUGUCUCGGUAUAAAACCCUAUUGUAUGCUCCAUCUACUGAGAUAGGGAAAAACCGCCUUAGGGCUGGAGGUGGGACAUGCGGGCAGCAACACUGCUUUGUAAAGCAUUGAGAUGUUUAUGUGUAUGCAUAUCUAAAAGCACAGCACUUAAUCCUUUACCUUGUCUAUGAUGCAAAGACCUUUGCUCACGUGUUUGUCUGCUGACCCUCUCCCCACAAUUGUCUUGUGACCCUGACACAUCCCCCUCUCCGAGAAACACCCAAAAAUGAUCAGUAAAUACUAAGGGAACUCAGAGGCUGGCGGGAUCCUCCAUAUGCUGAACGCUGGUUCCCCGGGUCCCCUUAUUUCUUCCUCUAUA
Molecule: long non-coding RNA, 3145 nt
Organism: Pan troglodytes (chimpanzee)
Lineage: Eukaryota; Metazoa; Chordata; Mammalia; Primates; Hominidae
Exons: 3
Source: RefSeq, a predicted model, not a curated record